This 406-nucleotide ribosomal RNA is filed under the name uncultured bacterium. RNAcentral's name for it is "bacterial SSU rRNA". It matches the Rfam family "Bacterial small subunit ribosomal RNA", at positions 917 to 1344 of the family's 1533-position model. The record is from RNAcentral.
GGGCCCGCACAAGCAGUGGAGCAUGUGGUUUAAUUCGAUGCAACGCGAAGAACCUUACCAGGCCUUGACAUCCUCGGAACUUUCUAGAGAUAGAUUGGUGCCUUCGGGAACCGAGUGACAGGUGCUGCAUGGCUGUCGUCAGCUCGUGUCGUGAGAUGUUGGGUUAAGUCCCGUAACGAGCGCAACCCUUGUCCUUAGUUGCCAGCACAUAAUGGUGGGAACUCUAAGGAGACUGCCGGUGACAAACCGGAGGAAGGUGGGACGACGUCAAGUCAUCAUGGCCCUUACGGCCUGGGCUACACACGUGCUACAAUGGUAGUGACAAUGGGUUAAUCCCAAAAAGCUAAUCUCAGUUCGGAUUGUCGUCUGCAACUCGACGGCAUGAAGUCGGAAUCGCUAGUAAUCG